This 363-nucleotide ribosomal RNA is filed under the name uncultured bacterium. RNAcentral describes it as "bacterial SSU rRNA". It matches the Rfam family "Bacterial small subunit ribosomal RNA", at positions 542 to 902 of the family's 1533-position model. The record is from RNAcentral.
UAUCCGGAAUUAUUGGGCGUAAAGGGCUCGUAGGCGGUUCGUCGCGUCCGGUGUGAAAGUCCAUCGCUUAACGGUGGAUCCGCGCCGGGUACGGGCGGGCUUGAGUGCGGUAGGGGAGACUGGAAUUCCCGGUGUAACGGUGGAAUGUGUAGAUAUCGGGAAGAACACCAAUGGCGAAGGCAGGUCUCUGGGCCGUCACUGACGCUGAGGAGCGAAAGCGUGGGGAGCGAACAGGAUUAGAUACCCUGGUAGUCCACGCCGUAAACGGUGGAUGCUGGAUGUGGGGACCAUUCCACGGUCUCCGUGUCGGAGCCAACGCGUCAAGCAUCCCGCCUGGGGAGUACGGCCGCAAGGCUAAAACUC